RNAcentral lists this ribosomal RNA (250 nucleotides) under uncultured bacterium. RNAcentral's name for it is "partial 16S ribosomal RNA". It matches the Rfam family "Bacterial small subunit ribosomal RNA", at positions 524 to 773 of the family's 1533-position model. The record is from RNAcentral.
UACGAAGGGUGCAAGCGUUAAUCGGAAUUACUGGGCGUAAAGCGUGCGUAGGCGGCGCGUUAAGCCUGAUGUGAAAGCCCUGGGCUCAACCUGGGAAUGGCAUCGGGGACUGGCGGGCUAGAGUUUGGGAGAGGGUGGUGGAAUUCCCGGUGUAGCGGUGAAAUGCGUAGAGAUCGGGAGGAACAUCUGUGGCGAAGGCGGCCACCUGGCCUAAAACUGACGCUGAGGCACGAAAGCGUGGGGAGCAAAC